RNAcentral lists this small RNA (162 nucleotides) under Rhodococcoides fascians. Its description in RNAcentral is "Rhodococcus fascians c-di-AMP sequence". It matches the Rfam family "c-di-AMP riboswitch aptamer (ydaO/yuaA leader)". From Rfam's summary of the family: This family represents a conserved RNA structure found upstream of the ydaO and yuaA genes in Bacillus subtilis and related genes in other bacteria. The ydaO/yuaA element is thought to act as a genetic "off" switch for the ydaO and yuaA genes in its native state. It is believed that the element may be triggered during osmotic shock leading to activation of ydaO, a predicted amino acid transporter gene, and members of the yuaA-yubG operon which code for KtrA and KtrB K+ transporters. The record is from RNAcentral. Lineage: Bacteria; Bacillati; Actinomycetota; Actinomycetes; Mycobacteriales; Nocardiaceae.
CGCAAGUCACCGCCUAAUCGGGCACUCGUCAGAGUGGCCGUACCGGGAACCCGAUUUCUACUGGGGUGAAUCCCGCCGGAUCGCAACUAUGCGAACGGUGGGUAGGGCUGAUCUUCCCAGCCCGAACCCGUCAGCUAACUCGGUCGGCGGAUGAGUGGAAGA